UCGUCCAGCUGCAGCUCUUGAAGUCGACUCAGGAGCUGCUCCUCAUUACGGCACACCUUGUCCUGUGCGUAGAGGCCUUCAGGCAUCACCCUCUGUUGACCCAUCCCCAUCAGAGCAACUUCCAGGGCCAAUGACAGGCUCCCUGCCCAGCAUAGAACUCAAUGCAGGGCUCUAACUCAUGACCCCGAGAUCAAGAGCUGAGCUGAGAUCAAGAGCUGGAUGCUUAACCAACUGAGCCACCCAGAGAGACAGCAUGCAAGAGCACAAGCAGGGAGAGCAGGAGUGGGAGAAGCAGUCUCCCCACCGAGGAGGGAGCCUGAUUCAGGGCUCGAUCCCAGGACCCCAGGAUCAUGACCUGAGCUGAAGGCAGAUGCUGAACCAACUGAGCCACCCAGAUGCCCCUGCAUAUUCAGCAAGAUCUUGAGAAAGACAAAGAAACGGGGUGAAGGAUGGAGAGUGGGAGGAUGAGAAGAACAGUAUGUGGUUAGUGAGAGCAGCCACUCUGCCAUCUGUCUGGGUGCUUGUUGUGCUGCCUCUUUAUUGGAUAAGCACUUAAUGUGUCUGUGACCUCUAUGGGAAGAACCUUUCUACAGAGACCUAUGGCUGCCUUUCCACUUUACAGAAGACCAAUUUCUCCUAGGACUGAGCGCCACAUGAAAAAGAAGAGGGACAGUGGUGCUCAGCUGCUCAAUUAUGAGGAUACCAACUGCUUCUACAGAAGUCAGAGGAAGAGAGAAGCAGCUGGGUAAUUUCCCUGGCCAAUCCAUAACCUGUCUCAUUUACAGCAUGACCCUUAUAAGACUAAGGACUCCAUGUAAUUGAUAUUAAAAGCUGAAAAAGAGCAGAUGCCCUGUGUAUUCUGGUCCCUUUAUCACAUUGAUAUCUAUAGGUUUACAGUCUUGUUCUCUAAUAUGAAAAACUGCUGCUGACAAAAGACUAAUUAAAUUAACAUGGACUCUUACCAUCCCAUCUCUCUUCAGGAAAAGGUCUGCAAGGAAACCAAAACAGUUUAGACAAAGUAGGCUCAAGGUGGUGUGGGUGGUGUGGAGGAAGACCAAAUGAAAGACACAUCAUCAUAAACUGUAGAGACAGAAGGACUCACGGAAAUUACAUUUAAGGAAAUAAAAAAACCACAAAGGAUUAUUUAAUUGACUCACUGCCAGAUUAAGGGCAACUGGAACUAUUUUGGGAUCAAGGACUAAAGUACUAUACAGAGAUGCCCAAAUGAGGUGUACAUCCACUGAGCCUGUGCAAAAAAAACUGGAAGGGAAAGCCAGGGGAUUCAGAAUGAACAUGAAAGAAAUGAACAUAUUCAUUCAUUAAGCAAAAGUCCUUAGAAUAUGUUAAUCUCUUCAGAAUUUGAUAUAUUACAUAGAGUAUGGGCUUAGAGGUUAACUUAGAAUAGCAUGACAGUAUCUACUGAAAUUUCUCCCUCAUGUUGUCCCUCAGUGGAAGCACAACGUACCUCCUACUGGCUACAGUCUAAACCCCUCUCUUGCUGAACUGAGACUCUACCUUGGGUCUGCUCAGCCCACAGUGGGGAUUAGGCUCCCAAUAUACAUCAAGUCUGCAAAUAAUGAGUACCUGCCUACACAUGGCCUACACAUUGUUCUAGGUGCUGAGGAUAUAUAAAAUCCCUGCCUUCAUGGAACUUUACAUUUAAAUGGGCAGAGACAGUUGAAUAAAUAUACAGUAUACCAGAUAUUUCAGAUGGUUAUGAGUGCUAUAGAAAAGACUAAAGCAAAAUUAGGGAGAAAGGUAAGCUGGUGUUGGGUGGGGGUUGUUGUUUUAUAUAGAAUGGUAUCUAAUAAGAUAACAUUUGAACAGAAACUUCAAGCCUUAGAGAUAACUAAGGGAAGAGCAUUCCAGGCAAAAGAAAUAGCAGAUGCUAAAAUCCUGAGGUGGGUACAUAUUUGGAGUGUUUGAGGGUAGUGAGGAGGCCAGUAUACUUAGAAUGGAAUGAGCAAGUAGAAAAAAUCAUAGGAGAUGAGGUCAGAGAGAUACUAGGAAGCCAGAUCAUUGAGGACCUUACAGGCCAUGAGUGAACGAUGAGAAGCCACCGGAGGGCUUUGAAUUGUUGAAGGUAUAUGAUGUGACCUGCUUUUUAAAAAGAUAACUGGCAGCAGUAUUGAGUACAGACCAUGAGGUGGAAGGGCAGAAGCAGGAGGGGCAGUUGGGAAGUCACUGCAAUAAUUUGUGAAAAAUGAUGGCAGUAGAGGUGAUAAGAAUAUAUGGAUUCUGUUGGACAGAAGACAUGAACAGACACUUUUCCAAAGAAGACAUUCAGAUGGCUAAAAGACACAUGAAAAAAUGCUCAACAUCACUCAUCAUCAGGGAAAUACAAAUCAAAACCACAAUGAGAUACCAUCUCAUACUUGUCAAAAUGGCUAAAAGUAAUAACAUAAGAAACAACAGGUGUUGGCAAGGAUGCAGAGAAAGGGGAAUCCUCUUGCACUGUUGGUGGGAAUGCAAACUGGUGAAGCCACUCUGGAGAACACUUUGGAGGUUCCUCAGAAAGUUAAAAAUAGAACUACCCUAUGACCCAGUAAUUGCAUUACUAGGUAUUUUCCCAAAGGAUACAAAAAUACAGAUACGAAGGGGUAUAUGCACCCCAAUGUUUAUAUAUAGCAGCACUAUCAACAAUAGCCAAACUAUGGAGAGAGCCCAAAUGUCCAUCAACUGAUGAAUGGAUAAAGAAGAUGUGCCACACACACACACACACACACACACACAAAUGGAAUAUUACUCAGCCAUCAAAAAGAACGAAAUCUUGCCAUUGGCAAUGAUCUGGAUGGGGCCAGAGUAUAUUAUGUUAGGUGAAAUAAAUUAGUCAGAGAAAGACAAAUACCAUCUGAUUUCACUCAUAUGUGGAAUUUAAGAAACAAAACAGAUGAACAUAUAGGAGGCGGGGAAGAAAAGUAAGAAGAGCGAGGGAAACAAACCAUAAGAUACUCUUAAUGAUAGAGAACAAA
Molecule: long non-coding RNA, 2972 nt
Organism: Mirounga angustirostris (Northern elephant seal)
Lineage: Eukaryota; Metazoa; Chordata; Mammalia; Carnivora; Phocidae
Exons: 4
Source: RefSeq, a predicted model, not a curated record